Molecule: unclassified non-coding RNA, 272 nt
Filed under: Ascomycota sp.
Lineage: Eukaryota; Fungi; Ascomycota
Description: partial contains small subunit ribosomal RNA, internal transcribed spacer 1, and 5.8S ribosomal RNA
Rfam family: Eukaryotic small subunit ribosomal RNA (bases 1-47)
Source: RNAcentral
AAAGUCGUAACAAGGUUUCCGUAGGUGAACCUGCGGAAGGAUCAUUAAAAAGAUUCUAACGGUUCUGGCCCGUAAAAAAGGCUAUGAGCUUAUUCAACCCUUUGUGAACUAAAAAACCUUUUCGCUUCGGUAGCAAGUUGGUUGGGUUCUGACCUAAACUAUACUAUCAGUCUACCGGCAGCAUCCAAACUAAACCUGUUUUUAAAAAUUUGUCUGUAUAUCAAAUUUUCGAAUGAAAAUCAAAACUUUCAACAACGGAUCUCUUGGUUCUC